RNAcentral lists this long non-coding RNA (1675 nucleotides) under Salvator merianae (Argentine black and white tegu). RNAcentral's name for it is "lncRNA (ENSSMRG00000007937.1)". Lineage: Eukaryota; Metazoa; Chordata; Lepidosauria; Squamata; Teiidae. The record is from RNAcentral.
GGCUAGGAGGACCACGGAGGACCAGUUAGUCGGUGUACGCCAAUGACAUUAUGGAGGGGAGGCCCAGUUUAAUAGCGUGUUAACUGUGCGGGGAAAGGGAAGUCUUGUCUACCAGAUCACGCUAUCGAAAUUGCCCUAAGCAAGGGAAGCCCUGUUUGGCUGCAAAACCACGUGAAAGCAAAACCAUUUAGCCAGAAAGCUGACUUGAUGUCCUGUCACACCAGACAGUGAGAAUUCCCAGCCACAGUCAAUCAGUUGGUCUUUAUUCAUUGCAGCAGUAAACCCUGCAUAGGACGGUUUUCUUACCUAAUCCAGCGGAGCAGCUGAACAAGGUCAACGAGGCAGGAGGCGUGGUCGAGAAGCCAGGGUCAGUCAGUCCGAAUGAAGCAUGCAGAAGUGUGGGAGUUGCUUGCAGGUUGGGUUGCCAGCAACANGCGUCUCAAGGGGGUGCAGAAGAAGCGCACGGGUCCCCCCUUGGAGGGACUGACCGGGACGCCUUCGCCUUUGUGCUUCGGACGGCGCUCCGGCUGCUGUUCGACGGGACGUCCGGCAACGUUCCAUUGGAGUGGCAGAAGAAGCGGAAGGUAUGUUUCCAGCCAGUGCGGACGCUUGAACGUGUGGCCGAUGCUCCGGUUCAGGUGGACCGAAGAGAUACUCUUGUUGUUCCAUCACUGAAACUGUCCGGAGCUGGUGGUCUCGUUGCCCGACGUGACUGCAUCUCGGCGUGGGUCUCGCUUCGGAGCAAGGUGCGACUCCUAUUGGACUGGACUGACACGGAGAGCGGCUUUACUCUGUGGACUGGACUGAGUCAGACCGGCUUUACUCGACGGACUGCUUUGCCCUCGCUGGGCAAGUGAAAGAUCGGGACUGAAUGAAGGCCGCACUCUCGGGCAAAGGACUGUGGGCUGUUUGUGGGUUUUGCAACUGCUGUCUGAAGUGAUGCUUGCUGUGUGGGCCGAGUCUGUUCUGCUCUAGGUGUCUCUAGAGGGUGGGGAAGGUCCUGCCGUGGAGCAAUUGAGGGCGGGCACCUUUGCCUUUGUGCUUCUGACGGCAUGUGGGGCCCCUGUGCUCCGGCUGCUGUCUGAUGGGAGGUCUCGAGAUGCGAAAGCGAUGCCGAUGCUGGUGUUCAAGUUCCGGUGCGAUGGUGACUGCUUUUCACAUGAGAAAAACACAUUCUUUAAAAUCUUUAUUAAACUUAAACUAAACCUUCUCAAAAUGUAUUAAGAGUUUAAAAUGGUAGCUAGAAACUAAUCUAGAAGAGUUAAAAUGUUAGAAACUAAUUUUAAAAACUUAAAAUGCUAGUUAGAAACUGAUUUAAAAAUGUAAACUCUAAUUCCAAAGUAAAUUUAAAAGUGUUUAAUAUUUACCUAAAAAAUAAGAUAACAAAAAACCUAAAGAGUAAAACACAAAGGGACACACACCACACUGUCCACGCACCCCUCGUGCUCAUCGCUUGCCGUCGUCUUCCGAAGAAGAUGCUCUCGCCGGUUCAUCGCUCCAACCGUCCGGCACCCGGUCUCGUCUGGAAACGCAGUGAGUCCUUCCAUGUUUAUUGUGUCUCGUCUUUGUACGUCCGUCUUGCUGCACGUUAUUAAAUCUACGUUGUUCCGUCAGAUACAUUCGUUGCACUUUGAAAUAUCUGGGUUUUAUUUUCUUGUGACCGCAUUGUACGAAC